GUGCCCGUAGCUCAAUGGAUAGAGCGGUAGAUUCCGGAUCUACAAGUUGAAGGUUCGAAUCCUUUCGGGCACA
This 73-nucleotide transfer RNA is filed under the name bacterium. Its description in RNAcentral is "tRNA-Arg". It matches the Rfam family "tRNA". From Rfam's summary of the family: Transfer RNA (tRNA) molecules are approximately 80 nucleotides in length. Their secondary structure includes four short double-helical elements and three loops (D, anti-codon, and T loops). Further hydrogen bonds mediate the characteristic L-shaped molecular structure. tRNAs have two regions of fundamental functional importance: the anti-codon, which is responsible for specific mRNA codon recognition, and the 3' end, to which the tRNAs corresponding amino acid is attached (by aminoacyl-tRNA synthetases). tRNAs cope with the degeneracy of the genetic code in two manners: having more than one tRNA (with a specific anti-codon) for a particular amino acid; and 'wobble' base-pairing, i.e. permitting non-standard base-pairing at the 3rd anti-codon position. The record is from RNAcentral. RNAcentral also lists the same sequence under 1 other name.